Molecule: ribosomal RNA, 1344 nt
Filed under: Triticum aestivum (bread wheat)
Lineage: Eukaryota; Viridiplantae; Streptophyta; Magnoliopsida; Poales; Poaceae
Description: partial small subunit ribosomal RNA
Source: RNAcentral
AUGGAUGAGGAGUACGACGUGAUCGUGCUGGGGACGGGGCUCAAGGAGUGCAUCCUCAGUGGCAUCCUCUCUGUCGAUGGCCUCAAGGUUCUUCACAUGGACAGGAAUGACUACUACGGUGGAGAAUCUACAUCCCUGAAUCUGGCCAAGAUCUGGAAGAGAUUCAAAGGCAGCGACACCACUCCUGACCAUCUGGGUGUCAGCAAGGAGUACAAUGUCGACAUGGUGCCCAAGUUCAUGAUGGCCAACGGUGCAUUGGUCCGUGUCUUGAUCCGCACGAGCGUGACAAAGUAUCUGAACUUCAAGGCCGUCGAUGGCAGCUUCGUCUACAACAACGGGAAGAUCCACAAAGUCCCUGCGACAGAUGUUGAAGCCUUGAAAUCUAACCUAAUGGGCCUGUUUGAAAAGCGCCGCGCUAGGAAGUUCUUCAUUUAUGUUCAGGACUACGAAGAGGAUGACGCGAAAUCACACGAAGGCCUAGAUCUGCACAAAGUCACGACGAGGGAACUCAUCUCCAAAUAUGGACUGGAGGAUGACACAGUUGACUUUAUUGGUCAUGCAUUGGCACUUCACCGGGAUGACAACUAUCUCGAUGAGCCUGCAAUUGACACUGUCAAGAGAAUGAAGCUUUAUGCGGAAUCAUUGGCGCGCUUCCAAGGUGGAUCACCUUAUAUCUACCCCUUGUAUGGGCUAGGAGAGCUCCCUCAGGCCUUUGCUCGUCUGAGCGCUGUUUAUGGUGGCACAUACAUGCUCAACAAACCAGAAUGCAAGGUUGAGUUCGAUGAGAGUGGUAAAGCAUUUGGUGUGACAUCCGAAGGGGAGACCGCGAAAUGCAAGAAGGUUGUUUGUGAUCCCUCAUACUUGCCUGACAAGGUGAAGAAGGUUGGAAGGGUGGCGCGUGCCAUAUGCAUAAUGAAGCAUCCAAUUCCUGACACCAAAGAUUCUCACUCCGUGCAGAUUAUCCUCCCAAAGAAACAGCUGAAGCGCAAAUCAGACAUGUACGUGUUCUGUUGCUCGUACGCUCACAACGUUGCGCCGAAAGGCAAGUUCGUCGCCUUUGUGUCGACUGAAGCUGAGACCGACAAGCCCGAGAUCGAGCUGAAACCCGGGAUCGACCUGCUCGGCCCAGUGGAGGAGACAUUCUUCGACAUGUACGAUCGAUUCGAGCCUGUUAACGCUGCUGAGGAGGACAACUGCUUCUUGACAACUAGCUACGACGCGACCACGCAUUUUGAGACAACGGUGAAGGAUGUGCUCGCCUUGUACAGCAAGAUCACUGGAAAGGAACUUGAUCUUUCCGUGGAUCUGAAUGCUGCCAGUGCCGGUGAAAACGAUGCCGCUUGA